UACAGAGACCUCAAACGUUGUCCGGAUUCAUUGGGUUUAAAGGGUGCGUAGGCGGAAUGAUAAGUCAGUGGUGAAAGCCUGCAGCUUAACUGCAGAACUGCCAUUGAUACUGUCAAUCUUGAGUACAUUUGAUGUGGGCGGAAUGUGUCAUGUAGCGGUGAAAUGCUUAGAUAUGACACAGAACACCGAUUGCGAAGGCAGCUCACAAAACUGUAACUGACGCUGAGGCACGAAAGCGUGGGGAUCAAACAGG
RNAcentral lists this ribosomal RNA (253 nucleotides) under uncultured bacterium. RNAcentral's name for it is "partial 16S ribosomal RNA". It matches the Rfam family "Bacterial small subunit ribosomal RNA", at positions 524 to 776 of the family's 1533-position model. The record is from RNAcentral.